This 279-nucleotide ribosomal RNA is filed under the name Triticum aestivum (bread wheat). Its description in RNAcentral is "partial small subunit ribosomal RNA". The record is from RNAcentral. Lineage: Eukaryota; Viridiplantae; Streptophyta; Magnoliopsida; Poales; Poaceae.
AUGACUAGCACCGACUUCUUCAGCGAGAAGUUCCACGUGCGUUCGCUAAGGAGCAACAAGGACGCGAUGAUGUCUGCCCUCUACCUUCAAGUGAGCAUCAUCAGCCAGGCCCUCAUCUUGGUCACCCGGUCGCGCCGCUGGUGCUUCCAGGAGCGCCCGGGGCUCUGGCUCUGCUUCGCCUUCGUCGUCGCGCAUAUCCUGCAACAAUACCGAAGGAGAACAGAACAAAUCAAUGAUAAAGAUGGCGUCGACACUCUUCAUGAAUGCCGUUCUUUUUAG